CCUGGGGGCGCUCUUUGCUUACGUGGACUCAAAGCGCACUUACGAGGACGCGUUUUUCUGCCAUGUAGGCAAAGCGCGCCCCCAGGG
Molecule: microRNA precursor, 87 nt
Organism: Gossypium raimondii (Peruvian cotton)
Lineage: Eukaryota; Viridiplantae; Streptophyta; Magnoliopsida; Malvales; Malvaceae
Rfam family: MIR7486 microRNA precursor family
Source: Rfam